Molecule: ribosomal RNA, 271 nt
Filed under: Enterococcus faecalis
Lineage: Bacteria; Bacillati; Bacillota; Bacilli; Lactobacillales; Enterococcaceae
Description: partial 16S ribosomal RNA
Rfam family: Bacterial small subunit ribosomal RNA
Source: RNAcentral
GCUAGUUGGUGAGGUAACGGCUCACCAAGGCCACGAUGCAUAGCCGACCUGAGAGGGUGAUCGGCCACACUGGGACUGAGACACGGCCCAGACUCCUACGGGAGGCAGCAGUAGGGAAUCUUCGGCAAUGGACGAAAGUCUGACCGAGCAACGCCGCGUGAGUGAAGAAGGUUUUCGGAUCGUAAAACUCUGUUGUUAGAGAAGAACAAGGACGUUAGUAACUGAACGUCCCCUGACGGUAUCUAACCAGAAAGCCACGGCUAACUACGUG